RNAcentral lists this ribosomal RNA (531 nucleotides) under Triticum aestivum (bread wheat). RNAcentral's name for it is "partial small subunit ribosomal RNA". The record is from RNAcentral. Lineage: Eukaryota; Viridiplantae; Streptophyta; Magnoliopsida; Poales; Poaceae.
GUUGUGGAUGAACGGAUGAAACUUCUAGUUCAGGCGGCAGCGCUGGUAGCUGUGAUUCGGGCCUGGAUCCUGUUGGUCCAUAAGAGAGUUGUUUGUCGGAAUGAUAAACCUCUCGUCCGGUAUGGUCCGAUGUUAAUUCGGGGUCGGGAGAAGAUAGCGAAUCUGAACUACAUCUACAACUACAACAACACAGAGGCUCUGUGGAUGCUUCGAAUGAAAAUAGCACCUUUCACCAGGCUUGUGCAGACAUUCAGGAGCAGGGGGUUGCUAGAAGAUAGCAUCCACACCACCGUGGAAGAGCAAGUAGCCAUGUUCCUUCAUGUUGUUGGUCAUAACCAGAGGUUCAGGGUUGUACACAAUACCUUCAAGAGAUCAAUGGAGACCAUAUUCAGGUACUUCAAGCAAGUGAUGUAUGUUGUUGGGGAGCUUAGAGGAGAGAUGAUCGGCGUUCCCCAACAGCGGACUCCUACCAAGAUUCGCACUAGCCUAAGAUGGUAUCCAUACUUUAAGAUGAGCACUGACAGUAUGUAG